This 70-nucleotide transfer RNA is filed under the name Citrobacter freundii. RNAcentral describes it as "tRNA-Leu". Lineage: Bacteria; Pseudomonadati; Pseudomonadota; Gammaproteobacteria; Enterobacterales; Enterobacteriaceae. The record is from RNAcentral.
GCGAAGGUGGCGGAAUUGGUAGACGCGCUAGCUUCAGGUGUUAGUGUCCUUAGUCCCCCCCCUCGCACCA